UCCUCGAUGGUCUAGUGGCUAUGAUUUCCGCUUGUCAUGCUAUGGCAUUGCAAUGCGCGGGAGACCAGUGCGUACUCGACCAUUAUACUCUUCCCAUAUCAAAUGAUCGCUGACAUUAAAACUCAGGGGUUCGAUUCCCUGUCGAGGAG
Teratosphaeria nubilosa is the source of this 149-nucleotide non-coding RNA. Lineage: Eukaryota; Fungi; Ascomycota; Dothideomycetes; Mycosphaerellales; Teratosphaeriaceae. The record is from the annotation of a GenBank genome assembly.